GAUGAACGCUGGCGGCGUGCCUAAUACAUGCAAGUCGAGCGAACGGACGAGAAGCUUGCUUCUCUGAUGUUAGCGGCGGACGGGUGAGUAACACGUGGAUAACCUACCUAUAAGACUGGGAUAACUUCGGGAAACCGGAGCUAAUACCGGAUAAUAUUUUGAACCGCAUGGUUCAAAAGUGAAAGACGGUCUUGCUGUCACUUAUAGAUGGAUCCGCGCUGCAUUAGCUAGUUGGUAAGGUAACGGCUUACCAAGGCAACGAUGCAUAGCCGACCUGAGAGGGUGAUCGGCCACACUGGAACUGAGACACGGUCCAGACUCCUACGGGAGGCAGCAGUAGGGAAUCUUCCGCAAUGGGCGAAAGCCUGACGGAGCAACGCCGCGUGAGUGAUGAAGGUCUUCGGAUCGUAAAACUCUGUUAUUAGGGAAGAACAUAUGUGUAAGUAACUGUGCACAUCUUGACGGUACCUAAUCAGAAAGCCACGGCUAACUACGUGCCAGCAGCCGCGGUAAUACGUAGGUGGCAAGCGUUAUCCGGAAUUAUUGGGCGUAAAGCGCGCGUAGGCGGUUUUUUAAGUCUGAUGUGAAAGCCCACGGCUCAACCGUGGAGGGUCAUUGGAAACUGGAAAACUUGAGUGCAGAAGAGGAAAGUGGAAUUCCAUGUGUAGCGGUGAAAUGCGCAGAGAUAUGGAGGAACACCAGUGGCGAAGGCGACUUUCUGGUCUGUAACUGACGCUGAUGUGCGAAAGCGUGGGGAUCAAACAGGAUUAGAUACCCUGGUAGUCCACGCCGUAAACGAUGAGUGCUAAGUGUUAGGGGGUUUCCGCCCCUUAGUGCUGCAGCUAACGCAUUAAGCACUCCGCCUGGGGAGUACGACCGCAAGGUUGAAACUCAAAGGAAUUGACGGGGACCCGCACAAGCGGUGGAGCAUGUGGUUUAAUUCGAAGCAACGCGAAGAACCUUACCAAAUCUUGACAUCCUUUGACAACUCUAGAGAUAGAGCCUUCCCCUUCGGGGGACAAAGUGACAGGUGGUGCAUGGUUGUCGUCAGCUCGUGUCGUGAGAUGUUGGGUUAAGUCCCGCAACGAGCGCAACCCCUAUUUUCAGUAGCCAGCAUUUUGGAUGGGCACUCUGGAGAGACUGCCCGGGAUAACCGGGAGGAAGGUGGGGAUGACGUCAAAUCAUCAUGCGCCUUAUGAUCUGGGCUACACACGUGCUACAAUGGCUGUUACAGAGAGAAGCGAAUCCGCGAGGAAGAGCAAACCUCAAAAAGGCAGUCUCAGUUCGGAUUGUAGUCUGCAACUCGACUACAUGAAGCUGGAAUCGCUAGUAAUCGCGAAUCAGAAUGUCGCGGUGAAUACGUUCCCGGGUCU
RNAcentral lists this ribosomal RNA (1373 nucleotides) under uncultured bacterium. Its description in RNAcentral is "bacterial SSU rRNA". It matches the Rfam family "Bacterial small subunit ribosomal RNA", at positions 28 to 1381 of the family's 1533-position model. The record is from RNAcentral.